RNAcentral lists this ribosomal RNA (460 nucleotides) under uncultured bacterium. RNAcentral describes it as "partial 16S ribosomal RNA". It matches the Rfam family "Bacterial small subunit ribosomal RNA", at positions 338 to 795 of the family's 1533-position model. The record is from RNAcentral.
CCUACGGGUGGCAGCAGUGAGGAAUAUUGGUCAAUGGACGAGAGUCUGAACCAGCCAAGUCGCGUGAGGGAUGAAGGCCCUAUGGAUUGUAAACCUCUUUUAUAAGGGAAUAAAGCGAGGGACGUGUGCCGUUUUGUAUGUACUUUAUGAAUAAGGAUCGGCUAACUCCGUGCCAGCAGCCGCGGUAAUACGGAGGAUCCGAGCGUUAUCCGGAUUUAUUGGGUUUAAAGGGAGCGUAGAUGGGUUGUUAAGUCAGUUGUGAAAGUUUGCGGCUCAACCGUAAAAUUGCAAUUGAUACUGGCAGCCUUGAGUACAGUUGAGGUAGGCGGAAUUCGUGGUGUAGCAGUGAAAUGCUUAGAUAUCACGAAGAACUCCGAUUGCGAAGGCAGCUUACUAAACUGCCACUGACAUUGAUGCUCGAAAGUGUGGGUAUCAAACAGGAUUAGAUACCCGUGUAGUC